RNAcentral lists this ribosomal RNA (400 nucleotides) under uncultured bacterium. RNAcentral's name for it is "bacterial SSU rRNA". It matches the Rfam family "Bacterial small subunit ribosomal RNA", at positions 975 to 1375 of the family's 1533-position model. The record is from RNAcentral.
CUGGGCUUGACAUGCAUCUCUAAGCGCGUGAAAGCGCGUGACCCUUCGGGGGAUUUGCACAGGUGCUGCAUGGCCGUCGUCAGCUCGUGUCGUGAGAUGUUGGGUUAAGUCCCGCAACGAGCGCAACCCUUGUGACUGGUUGCCAGCGCGUAAUGGCGGGAACUCGAGUCAGACUGCCCAGAUCAACUGGGAGGAAGGUGGGGACGACGUCAGGUCAGUAUGGCCCUUACGCCCAGGGCUGCACACGUACUACAAUGCCCAGUACAAUGGGAACCGAGGCCGCGAGGCGGAGGAAAUCCACAAAACUGGGCCCAGUUCGGAUUGGAGGCUGCAACUCGCCUCCAUGAAGUCGGAAUCGCUAGUAAUGGCGCAUCAGCUACGGCGCCGUGAAUACGUUCCC